AACCAUAGAAACCUGCGGAGUACCUGCGGAGGGAUCAUUAUUGAGACUUGAAACUUAACCAGGAAAGAUGAGGGGAGGGGAUGAAGGAGUUUUUCUUCUGAUUCCUUUUCUCUUGCCUUUCUUGGACAACCAACCAACACACAUGACUAGGAAAUCAGAAAUGGAGGGAUAAAAAGUGUGUGGGUAGACAGAGAGAUUUGAUUUGGACACUCUCAGUCGAACAUGCACGACGCAUAAACA
Molecule: unclassified non-coding RNA, 240 nt
Filed under: soil metagenome
Description: partial contains 5.8S ribosomal RNA, internal transcribed spacer 2, and large subunit ribosomal RNA
Source: RNAcentral